AUUCCCUCAGUAACGGCGAAGUGAAGCGGUAACAGCUCAAAUUUGAAAUCUGGCAGCAAUGUCCGAGUUGUAAUUUGUAGAGGAUGUUUCGAGCAUGGUCUGGCCUAAGUUCCUUGGAACAGGACGUCAUAGAGGGUGAGAAUCCCGUAUGCGGUCAGGUGCCUACGCUCAUGUGAAACUCCUUCGACGUGUCGAGUUGUUUGGGAAUGCAGCUCAAAAUGGGUGGUAAAUUUCAUCUAAAGCUAAAUAUUGGCCAGAGACCGAUAGCGCACAAGUAGAGUGAUCGAAAGAUGAAAAGCACUUUGGAAAGAGAGUUAAACAGUACGUGAAAUUGUUGAAAGGGAAGCGCUUGCAACCAGACUUGCACGCAGUUAAUCAUCCGCUGUUCUCAGUGGUGCACUUGAUUGCGUUCAGGCCAGCAUCGGUUUUGGUGGUGGGAUAAAGGCCUUAGGAAUGUAGCUGCUUUCGGGCAGUGUUAUAGCCUAGGGUGCAAUGCCGCCUACUGGGACCGAGGACCGCGCUUCGGCUAGGAUGCUGGCGUAAUGGUUGUAAGCGACCCGUCUUGAAACACGGACCAAGGAGUCUAACAUCUAUGCGAGUGUUUGGGUGUCAAACCCAUACGCGUAAUGAAAGUGAACGGAGGUCAGAACCCUUAAGGGUGCAUGAUCGACCGGUCCUGAAGUCUUCGGAUGGAUCUGAGUAAGAGCAUAGCUGUUGGGACCCGAAAGAUGGUGAACUAUGCCUGAAUAGGGUGAAGCCAGAGGAAACUCUGGUGGAGGCUCGCAGCGGUUUCUGACGUGCAAAUCGAUCGUCAAAUUUGGGUAUAGGGGCGAAAGACUAAUCGAACCAUCUAGUAGCUGGCUCUGUG
This 868-nucleotide ribosomal RNA is filed under the name Thelebolus stercoreus. RNAcentral's name for it is "LSU rRNA". It matches the Rfam family "Eukaryotic large subunit ribosomal RNA", at positions 74 to 961 of the family's 3401-position model. The record is from RNAcentral. Lineage: Eukaryota; Fungi; Ascomycota; Leotiomycetes; Thelebolales; Thelebolaceae.